RNAcentral lists this ribosomal RNA (468 nucleotides) under uncultured bacterium. RNAcentral describes it as "partial 16S ribosomal RNA". It matches the Rfam family "Bacterial small subunit ribosomal RNA", at positions 28 to 507 of the family's 1533-position model. The record is from RNAcentral.
GACGAACGCUGGCGGCGUGCUUAACACAUGCAAGUCGAACGGGAAGGCCCUGCUUUUGUGGUGGGCGCGAGGGGCGAACGGGUGAGGAACACUUGAGUAACCUACCCUUGACUUUGGGAUAACUUCAGGAAACUGGGGCUAAUACCGGAUAGGAGCUCCGGCUGCAUGGUGGGGGUUGGAAAGUUUAGGCGGUUGGGGUUGGACUCGCGGCGUAUCAGCUUGUUGGUGGGGGAGUGGCUUACCAAGGCUUUGACGGGUGGCCGGCCGGAGCGGGUGACCGGCCACACGGGGAAGGAGCCAACGGCAGGCAUCAUACGGGAGGAAGCGGCGAGGAAUAUUGGACUAUGGGAGGAACCCUGAUGCAGGAACGAAGCGCGUGGGAUGACGGACUUUGGCUUGCAAACAGGUUUCGCUUGGGAAGAAGCGUAAGUGACGGUGAUGGGUAAAGAAAGCCCGGCUAAACACGUG